ACUAGCGGGAAGGUGUGUUUUUAUUAGCUCUCUUUGAAAUCACCCACUUUUGCCAAAAAUUGAAACAGAGAGCUCCAUUCCUGCCUAAAUCAUCUCUCCCGCUACUGCUUUGAACUUCGAAUCAAUGGCGCGAGCGAGGCAUCCACCCCAAAGGAAGUCCAAUCGCAUGCCAUCAGGUACCGGAGCUGCACAGUCUUCCCCAGCUGCGCCUUCGACGCCACUUAGCGGAAGAACACAAAAUGUGGAGCAAGCUCAAAGCUCACCAUUGAGGACAACAAAGAAAAAAAAACGCUUCAGACCAGGAACGGUGGCAUUGAGGGAAAUUCGGAGUCUCCAGAAAUCAUGGAAUCUACUAAUUCCAGCUAGCUGUUUCAUCCGAGCAGUGAAAGAAGUAAGCUACCAGUUGGCUCCACAGAUUACGCGUUGGCAAGCUGAAGCUUUAGUAGCUCUUCAGGAAGCGGCAGAAGAUUUUUUGGUUCAUCUAUUUGAAGAUACCAUGCUGUGUGCUAUUCAUGCCAAGCGUGUAACUAUCAAACUGAAGAACGCUCCUGGAUUCAAUAAUCAGUACUUUCGACUGAUAAAAUAGUUGGACAAUGGACAAAAUAAUACUCUCAAACAUAAUUAUGAACCGUGCUAGUGAAAAAGGAUUUUGAGCUGGCACGUCGAUUAGGAGGGAAAGGGAGGCCAUGGUGAGAAGAGAUGUUCAUUAGAAAGAGGAGCAACUUUAGCAACCAAACAUCACCUCAUUAAUCGGUAUAAUAGAAUUCCAGUUGUUGAUCGGCAGUAAGCUGUAUAUUUGAAUGUGUAGAAAUUAGGCAGUAGAAAAGACCAAAAUUGUUUGUUGCCUAGCACCAUUUAUGCCACAGCCUCCAAAAUUCCAAUCCUACAUACAGUUCGAAUGCGACUUGAAAUACGAAGUUUAUAUUACCUAUCUUGAAGGAGAUUGUAGGGUCCAUUCAACUUUGAUGUGGCCUUGAUUCUGACCCUUGAGUUGCUUCCUGUAAUCUGUUACUUUGUUUCAUCAUGUUAUCAGAAUACAACAUUUUGCUGGCAGCUCUGCAAAAACAAAAGACACCAUUGUUUGGUCAGCUCAAUCUCUUUACUAUUGUGUGUGCUUUAAGGGGCAGUGUUCCUUUUGUCUGAAUUGUUUUUCCUCUCUGUAUAUUGUCUUUAAGAAGGGGUGGGUUAGAACAUCCUUUGUCCUUUUUUUUUUUUUUUUUUAAAACUAUUGUAACAUUUGGUGUUUGUAUUUCUCUCCGUGAUGAUUUGUUUUUGUACUAUUGAAAAUUUUACCAUUUAGUUUCAU
Benincasa hispida (wax gourd) is the source of this 1306-nucleotide RNA transcript. It is a transcript of the gene named Histone superfamily protein, with no coding region annotated. Lineage: Eukaryota; Viridiplantae; Streptophyta; Magnoliopsida; Cucurbitales; Cucurbitaceae. The record is from RefSeq and is a predicted model, not a curated record.